This 639-nucleotide ribosomal RNA is filed under the name Nitratidesulfovibrio vulgaris. Its description in RNAcentral is "bacterial SSU rRNA". It matches the Rfam family "Bacterial small subunit ribosomal RNA", at positions 138 to 760 of the family's 1533-position model. The record is from RNAcentral. Lineage: Bacteria; Pseudomonadati; Thermodesulfobacteriota; Desulfovibrionia; Desulfovibrionales; Desulfovibrionaceae.
UGGGAAUAACGGCUGGAAACGGUCGCUAAUACCGAAUACGCUCCGAUUUCAACUUCGGGGGAAAGGUGGCCUCUGCUUGCAAGCUACUGCUCAUGGAUGAGUCCGCGUCCCAUUAGCUAGUUGGUGGGGUAACGGCCCACCAAGGCGACGAUGGGUAGCCGGUCUGAGAGGAUGACCGGCCACACUGGGACUGGAACACGGCCCAGACUCCUACGGGAGGCAGCAGUGGGGAAUAUUGCGCAAUGGGCGAAAGCCUGACGCAGCGACGCCGCGUGAGGGAUGAAGGUCCUCGGAUCGUAAACCUCUGUCAGGAGGGAAGAACCGCCACGGUGCUAAUCAGCCGUGGUCUGACGGUACCUCCAAAGGAAGCACCGGCUAACUCCGUGCCAGCAGCCGCGGUAAUACGGAGGGUGCGAGCGUUAAUCGGAAUCACUGGGCGUAAAGCGCACGUAGGCUGCUUGGUAAGUCAGGGGUGAAAGCCCGCGGCUCAACCGCGGAAUUGCCUUUGAUACUGCCGAGCUAGAGUCCGGGAGAGGGUAGUGGAAUUCCAGGUGUAGGAGUGAAAUCCGUAGAGAUCUGGAGGAACAUCAGUGGCGAAGGCGACUACCUGGACCGGUACUGACGCUGAGGUGCGAAAGC